GUCUACAGCCAUACCACCCUGAACACUCCCGAUCUCGUCUGAUCUUGGAAGCUAAGCAGGGUCAGGCCUGGUUAGUACUUGGAUAGGAGACCUAGAGGGAAUUGUGGAGACC
RNAcentral lists this ribosomal RNA (112 nucleotides) under Erinaceus europaeus (western European hedgehog). Lineage: Eukaryota; Metazoa; Chordata; Mammalia; Eulipotyphla; Erinaceidae. The record is from RNAcentral.